This is a small nucleolar RNA of Microcebus murinus (gray mouse lemur), 104 nucleotides long. The record is from Ensembl. Lineage: Eukaryota; Metazoa; Chordata; Mammalia; Primates; Cheirogaleidae.
AUCCUUUUGUAGUUCAUAAGCGUGAUGAUUGGGUUUUCACGCGCAUGCGUGAGAUGUGCCUCCCUCAAACCUUGUUACGACAUCGGCACAUUACCCGUCUGACG